AUACUUCUUCUUGUAAAACGAAUCCAGAUUAUAACACGUUGUAUACCUGAAAUGUAAAUUGGAGUGUCACAUGUGUCGCUACGUAGUAAUCAUGUGAUUAAUCCGAUUGAUGAUGGUGAUGGCUUGUUAUUUAAUCAAUGACUUCCUGCCACAUGAUUGACACAUGCAUUGUCGAACAAUAAAUAAUAAGAGUCUGUCUGGCAAAGACCUAGACAUUUUAAAGCAUCAUAACACAUAAGAUGCCUCAUGGCAUUAUGGAUGAUGUACCCAUCAUUUAGUUCCGCCAGAAACAAUGAUAAUUGCUUGAUGAUAACCUCUAUUAACUAUAAUUUGCUCACUUUGUAUUUGCCUUUAUUCUUUUCUCACUUACUUCCUGGGAACAUAAGAUUCUGAUUUGUUGCCACCAGAAUCAUAUUUUGAUU
Long non-coding RNA from Cephus cinctus (wheat stem sawfly), 422 nucleotides. RefSeq lists it as uncharacterized. NCBI's taxonomy places the organism in Eukaryota, Metazoa, Arthropoda, Insecta, Hymenoptera, Cephidae. The transcript is spliced from 3 exons. The record is from RefSeq and is a predicted model, not a curated record.